This 490-nucleotide ribosomal RNA is filed under the name uncultured bacterium. Its description in RNAcentral is "partial 16S ribosomal RNA". It matches the Rfam family "Bacterial small subunit ribosomal RNA", at positions 30 to 507 of the family's 1533-position model. The record is from RNAcentral.
AUUGAACGCUGGCGGCAGGCCUAACACAUGCAAGUCGAACGGUAACAGGAAGCUGCUUGCUGCUUUGCUGACGAGUGGCGGCCGGGUGAGUAAUGUCUGGGAAACUGUCCGAUGGAGGGGGAUAACUACUGGAAACGGUAGCUAAUACCGCAUAACGUCGCAAGCAUAAAGAGGGGGACCUUAGGGCCUCUUGCCAUCGGAUGUGCCCAGAUGGGAUUAGCUAGUAGGUGGGGUAACGGCUCACCUAGGCGACGAUCCCUAGCUGGUCUGAGAGGAUGACCAGCCACACUGGAACUGGGACACGGUCCAGACUCCUACGGGAGGCAGCAGUGGGGAAUAUUGCACAAUGGGCGCAAGCCUGAUGCAGCCAUGCCGCGUGUAUGAAGAAGGCCUUCGGGUUGUAAAGUACUUUCAGCGGGGAGGAAGGGAGUAAAGUUAAUACCUUUGCUCAUUGACGUUACCCGCAGAAGAAGCACCGGCUAACUCCGUG